UACAGAGGGUGCAAGCGUUAUUCGGAAUUACUGGGCGUAAAGCGCAUGUAGGUGGUUUGGUAAGUCCGGUGUGAAAUCCCUCGACUCAAUCGAGGAAGUGCAUUGGAUACUGCCAGACUAGAGUGUGGGAGAGGUGAGUGGAAUUCCAGGUGUAGAGGUGAAAUUCGUAGAUAUCUGGAGGAACAACAGAGGCGAAGGCGGCUCACUGGACCAUUACUGACACUGAGAUGCGAAAGCGUGGGGAGCAAACAGG
RNAcentral lists this ribosomal RNA (253 nucleotides) under uncultured bacterium. RNAcentral describes it as "partial 16S ribosomal RNA". It matches the Rfam family "Bacterial small subunit ribosomal RNA", at positions 524 to 776 of the family's 1533-position model. The record is from RNAcentral.